CCUACGGGAGACUGCAGUGAGGAAUAUUGGUCAAUGGACGCAAGCCUGAACCAGCCAUGCCGCGUGCAGGAAGACGGCCCUAUGAGUUGUAAACUGCUUUUGUACAAGGGUAAACGCAGAUACGCGUAUCUGUCUGAAAGUAUCGUACGAAUAAGGAUCGGCUAACUCCGUGCCAGCAGCCGCGGUAAUACGGAGGAUUCAAGCGUUAUCCGGAUUUAUUGGGUUUAAAGGGUGCGUAGGCGGUCGGAUAAGUUAGAUGUGAAAUCCCGAGGCUCAACUUCGGAAUUGCCUUUGAUACUGGUCGGCUAGAGUGUAGUUGCGGUAGGCGGAAUGUAUGGUGUAGCGGUGAAAUGCUUAGAGAUCAUACAGAACACCGAUUGCGAAGGCAGCUUACCAAGCUACUUCUGACGUUGAGGCACGAAAGCGUGGGGAGCAAACAGGAUUAGAUACCCUGGUAGUC
RNAcentral lists this ribosomal RNA (460 nucleotides) under uncultured bacterium. Its description in RNAcentral is "partial 16S ribosomal RNA". It matches the Rfam family "Bacterial small subunit ribosomal RNA", at positions 338 to 795 of the family's 1533-position model. The record is from RNAcentral.